Molecule: ribosomal RNA, 392 nt
Filed under: uncultured bacterium
Lineage: Bacteria
Description: partial 16S ribosomal RNA
Rfam family: Bacterial small subunit ribosomal RNA
Source: RNAcentral
AUACGGAGGAUCCGAGCGUUAUCCGGAUUUAUUGGGUUUAAAGGGUGCGCAGGCGGCCAUUUAAGUCAGCGGUUAAAUUGUGGGGCUCAACCCCAUUCUGCCGUUGAUACUGGGUGGCUUGAUUGCGGUCGAGGUUGGCGGAAUUCGUUGUGUAGCGGUGAAAUGCAUAGAUAUGACGAAGAACACCGAUUGCGUAGGCAGCUGACCAGACCGCAAAUGACGCUCAUGCACGAAAGUGCGGGGAUCGAACAGGAUUAGAUACCCUGGUAGUCCGCACAGUAAACGAUGAAUACUUGUUUUCGGCGAUAUAAUGUCGGAGGCAAAGCGAAAGCGAUAAGUAUUCCAUCUGGGGAGUACGCCGGCAACGGUGAAACUCAAAUGAAUUGACGGGG